RNAcentral lists this ribosomal RNA (512 nucleotides) under uncultured bacterium. RNAcentral's name for it is "partial 16S ribosomal RNA". It matches the Rfam family "Bacterial small subunit ribosomal RNA", at positions 28 to 507 of the family's 1533-position model. The record is from RNAcentral.
GAUGAACGCUGGCGGCGUGCCUAAUACAUGCAAGUCGAACGAAACUUCUUUAUCACCGAGUGCUUGCACUCACCGAUAAAGAGUUGAGUGGCGAACGGGUGAGUAACACGUGGGCAACCUGCCCAAAAGAGGGGGAUAACACUUGGAAACAGGUGCUAAUACCGCAUAACCAUAGUUACCGCAUGGUAACUAUGUAAAAGGUGGCUAUACUACCGCUUUUGGAUGGGCCCGCGGCGCAUUAGCUAGUUGGUAGGGUAAAGGCUUACCAAGGCAAUGAUGCGUAGCCGAAUUGAGAGGUUGGUCGGCCACAUUGGGACUGAGACACGGCCCACACUCCUACGGGAGGCAGCAGUAGGGAAUCUUCCACGAAGGGCGAAAGCCUGAUGGAGCAACGCCGCGUGGGUGAAGAAGGUCUUCGGAUCGUAAAACCCUGUUGUUAGAGAAGAAAGUGCGUGAGAGUAACUGUUCACGUUUCGACGGUAUCUAACCAGAAAGCCACUGCUAACUACGUG